Molecule: long non-coding RNA, 223 nt
Filed under: Homo sapiens (human)
Lineage: Eukaryota; Metazoa; Chordata; Mammalia; Primates; Hominidae
Description: non-protein coding lnc-PAX7-1:1
Source: RNAcentral
CCUGACAGAAGGAGAAUGAGAAUUAGUCUCAGAGUUUAAUAUUGAAUAUGCUGCAGGCCCAUACGCUCUCUUUUUUGUAGCAGAGUACAUGAACAUUAUUAUAAUAAAUGCCCUAACUACUACAAAUCUUUCUAGGAGCACUAUACACUAUGCAUUUUCCAGAACUCUAUACCACACAUUUUAUUAUCUAAACCCUCCUCUUAACCUCCCUGUCUCUACUUUU